CAGCCCCUAACUUGUUCGUAGGACAUAAUCAGUCUGUAUGGCGAAUUGAUGCGAAGCAUCAACGACUGUGCCACCGGGGAGUUGCGGCUAAAUUAGAAUCCCGUAGUAGAACCGCGAAUUGAGGCAUAUUGCCAAUACUGUAUCACACAGGAGCAGCUGCUGAUCACAUCAGACCACCCUGUUCUGCUCAGAUUUGCCUGUUCUGGACAUUUCACAAAAAUGGAAUCAUAGGAUAUGU
Lontra canadensis (Northern American river otter) is the source of this 238-nucleotide long non-coding RNA. RefSeq lists it as uncharacterized. The transcript has 3 exons. The record is from RefSeq and is a predicted model, not a curated record. NCBI's taxonomy places the organism in Eukaryota, Metazoa, Chordata, Mammalia, Carnivora, Mustelidae.